AUGCUCCCGUGGGCGACGGCGGCGGAGGCCGAGGCGGCGCUGGGCCGCGCCAUGACGGCCGCGGAGGCGCUGUGGUUCCGGUGCACCGCGGAGACGUCCGACUACUACCUCUAUUGCCUCAACAUCCUCUUCCUCCUCGUCGUCUUCACGCUCGCGCCGCUCCCCGUCGCGCUCCUCGAGCUCCGCGCGCCGCGGGCCGUCGGGCCGUACAAGCUGCAGCCCCGGGUGCGCCUCUCGCGUGCCGAGUUCCUCAAGUGCUACGGGGACGUCAUGCGCAUCUUCUUCCUCGUCAUCGGCCCGCUACAGCUCGUCUCCUACCCCGCCGUCAAGAUGGUGGGAAUCCACACCGGACUGCCAUUGCCGUCUCUGGGGGAGAUGGCCGCACAGCUGCUGGUCUACUUCCUGGUUGAGGACUACCUCAACUACUGGAUCCAUCGGCUGCUGCACGGUGAGUGGGGCUAUGAGAAGAUCCACCGGAUCCACCAUGAGUACACCGCGCCCAUUGGCUUUGCCGCGCCAUACGCACACUGGGCAGAGGUUCUCAUACUCGGCAUCCCCUCCUUCGCUGGGCCAGCCAUUGCACCAGGCCACAUGAUAACAUUCUGGCUCUGGAUUAUACUUCGUCAGAUGGAAGCCAUUGAUACACACAGCGGUUUUGAUUUCCCAUUCAGCCUGACAAAGUAUAUUCCAUUCUAUGGAGGAGCAGAAUACCAUGAUUAUCAUCACUACGUUGGAGGCCAAAGCCAGAGCAAUUUUGCUUCCGUUUUCACGUACUGUGAUUACCUAUAUGGGACCGACAGAGGUUACAGAUUCCACAAAGCUUACUUAGCAAAGUUGAAGGAUCUGGCGCCAAGCGACGGCGAGAAAGGUGCCGACGGAUUCGCUUACGCGAAGUUGGAUUAG
RNAcentral lists this ribosomal RNA (903 nucleotides) under Triticum aestivum (bread wheat). RNAcentral describes it as "partial small subunit ribosomal RNA". The record is from RNAcentral. Lineage: Eukaryota; Viridiplantae; Streptophyta; Magnoliopsida; Poales; Poaceae.